CCCUGAUAAUCCAGUUGGUAAAGAAUCUGCCUGUAAUGCAGGAAACCCCGGUUCAAUUCCUGGGUCAGGAA
Molecule: transfer RNA, 71 nt
Filed under: Bos taurus (domestic cattle)
Lineage: Eukaryota; Metazoa; Chordata; Mammalia; Artiodactyla; Bovidae
Also listed under: 3 other names
Rfam family: tRNA
About the family: Transfer RNA (tRNA) molecules are approximately 80 nucleotides in length. Their secondary structure includes four short double-helical elements and three loops (D, anti-codon, and T loops). Further hydrogen bonds mediate the characteristic L-shaped molecular structure. tRNAs have two regions of fundamental functional importance: the anti-codon, which is responsible for specific mRNA codon recognition, and the 3' end, to which the tRNAs corresponding amino acid is attached (by aminoacyl-tRNA synthetases). tRNAs cope with the degeneracy of the genetic code in two manners: having more than one tRNA (with a specific anti-codon) for a particular amino acid; and 'wobble' base-pairing, i.e. permitting non-standard base-pairing at the 3rd anti-codon position.
Source: Rfam by way of RNAcentral